AUUGAACGCUGGCGGCAGGCCUAACACAUGCAAGUCGAGCGGAUGAAGGGAGCUUGCUCCUGGAUCCAGCGGCGGACGGGUGAGUAAUGCCUAGGAAUCUGCCUGGUAGUGGGGGAUAACGUCCGGAAACGGGCGCUAAUACCGCAUACGUCCUGAGGGAGAAAGUGGGGGAUCUUCGGACCUCACGCUAUCAGAUGAGCCUAGGUCGGAUUAGCUAGUUGGUGGGGUAAAGGCCUACCAAGGCGACGAUCCGUAACUGGUCUGAGAGGAUGAUCAGUCACACUGGAACUGAGACACGGUCCAGACUCCUACGGGAGGCAGCAGUGGGGAAUAUUGGACAAUGGGCGGAAGCCUGAUCCAGCCAUGCCGCGUGUGUGAAGAAGGUCUUCGGAUUGUAAAGCACUUUAAGUUGGGAGGAAGGGCAGUAAGUUAAUACCUUGCUGUUUUGACGGUACCAACAGAAUAAGCACCGGCUAACUUCGUG
This 484-nucleotide ribosomal RNA is filed under the name uncultured bacterium. RNAcentral describes it as "partial 16S ribosomal RNA". It matches the Rfam family "Bacterial small subunit ribosomal RNA", at positions 30 to 507 of the family's 1533-position model. The record is from RNAcentral.